RNAcentral lists this ribosomal RNA (503 nucleotides) under Ammothea ovatoides. Its description in RNAcentral is "partial 16S ribosomal RNA". The stretch from base 375 to 503 matches the Rfam family "Bacterial large subunit ribosomal RNA", at positions 2473 to 2600 of the family's 2925-position model. Lineage: Eukaryota; Metazoa; Arthropoda; Pycnogonida; Pantopoda; Ammotheidae. The record is from RNAcentral.
UUUUUAUGAAUAUUUAAUAUAAAAUUUGCCCUGCCCAAUGAUAAAUAUUUAAUGGCCGCAGUAAAUUGACUGUGCAAAGGUAGCAUAAUAAUUUGUCUUUUAAUUGAAGACUGGAAUGAAUGGGUGGACGUAAGAAAGACUGUCUUUAUUAUUAUAAUUGAAUUUUACUUUUAUGUUAAAAGGCUUUUGUGUUAAUUAGAUUUUAUUAAGGGACGAAAAGACCCUGUCAAGUUUUAUAAUAUUUUUUUAUUAUCAUUAAUUUAAAAAAUAUAUUAUUUAUCUGGGGUGGAUUUAAUAUUAAUCUAUUAAAUAAUUUAUAAUUAAAGAAUUUAUUAUUGAUCUUUUUUAUUACUUACUAAUUAAAUUACUGCAGGGGUAACAGCAUAAUUAUUUUGGUAAGUUCAAAUUUAUAAAAUAGAUUAUGACCUCGAUGUUGGAUUAAUUUUACCUAAUAUAAUGAAAAAGUUUUAAAGGUUAGUCUGUUCGACUAUUAAAAAGUUACA